AAUGCCAGCUGCUUGCUCAAAUGAGGAUGUUACAAUCUGCAUCUGAUGAUGGUAUUGCCUAUACCUUUGUUCCACCUGCCAAAAAAAAAAAAAAAAACCAUUUGAUAUCAAUACGUUGUGCUUAAGCAAUAAGGUUAAGUUGGAUGUCUAGAAGAAGUUUGGAAUUCAAGAACCUGACUGACGUACUCUAAUUGGUAAAUUUCAUUGAUUUGAGGUCUAAUAACAAACUAGAGCUUUCAAUUAAUUCAACAAAGAAUCUUCAAGGAUUGAAAUCUAAAGAAAUAAGACCUUAAAAUACUAGACUUAAAACUUAUGAACUUGCUUCUAUCCCAGUUUUUUCCAUAUAUAUAUGAUCUAAUUUCCAUACCUCAUCAAGCAUGUUAAUUAGCUUUGCUUUCUUCAUCUGAAUUUCCUGUUUCUCAGCCGUGGUCAGCUCUGCGGCGUGUUUCUCACCUGCCUCCCCACCACCAGAGCCAUCCCCGGCCACCACCGACGACUCUCCCACAGCCUUACUACUGCUAUUGCUAUGAUUAUUUCCACCACCACCCUUCUUAGCCAAUAAUUCACUCUUU
This 572-nucleotide long non-coding RNA is filed under the name Gossypium barbadense (sea-island cotton). RNAcentral describes it as "long non-coding RNA (GBAR_LNC003151)". The record is from RNAcentral. Lineage: Eukaryota; Viridiplantae; Streptophyta; Magnoliopsida; Malvales; Malvaceae.